Molecule: RNA transcript, 5133 nt
Organism: Homo sapiens (human)
Lineage: Eukaryota; Metazoa; Chordata; Mammalia; Primates; Hominidae
Gene: KLF15
Gene name: KLF transcription factor 15
Exons: 5
Source: RefSeq, marked validated
CAGAGGGCUGGCCGGCCUCGGGGCGCGUGGCCGUGCUCCCGCGCAGCUCUCGGAGGCACCGCGCGAGUGCUGGAGGAAUGUCGGAGGAGCGGGAUGGGCCCCCGCGGAGCCGCCACCGGCACGGCCAGGCCAGCAUGGUGGACCACUUACUUCCAGUGGACGAGAACUUCUCGUCGCCAAAAUGCCCAGUUGGGUAUCUGGGUGAUAGGCUGGUUGGCCGGCGGGCAUAUCACAUGCUGCCCUCACCCGUCUCUGAAGAUGACAGCGAUGCCUCCAGCCCCUGCUCCUGUUCCAGUCCCGACUCUCAAGCCCUCUGCUCCUGCUAUGGUGGAGGCCUGGGCACCGAGAGCCAGGACAGCAUCUUGGACUUCCUAUUGUCCCAGGCCACGCUGGGCAGUGGCGGGGGCAGCGGCAGUAGCAUUGGGGCCAGCAGUGGCCCCGUGGCCUGGGGGCCCUGGCGAAGGGCAGCGGCCCCUGUGAAGGGGGAGCAUUUCUGCUUGCCCGAGUUUCCUUUGGGUGAUCCUGAUGACGUCCCACGGCCCUUCCAGCCUACCCUGGAGGAGAUUGAAGAGUUUCUGGAGGAGAACAUGGAGCCUGGAGUCAAGGAGGUCCCUGAGGGCAACAGCAAGGACUUGGAUGCCUGCAGCCAGCUCUCAGCUGGGCCACACAAGAGCCACCUCCAUCCUGGGUCCAGCGGGAGAGAGCGCUGUUCCCCUCCACCAGGUGGUGCCAGUGCAGGAGGUGCCCAGGGCCCAGGUGGGGGCCCCACGCCUGAUGGCCCCAUCCCAGUGUUGCUGCAGAUCCAGCCCGUGCCUGUGAAGCAGGAAUCGGGCACAGGGCCUGCCUCCCCUGGGCAAGCCCCAGAGAAUGUCAAGGUUGCCCAGCUCCUGGUCAACAUCCAGGGGCAGACCUUCGCACUCGUGCCCCAGGUGGUACCCUCCUCCAACUUGAACCUGCCCUCCAAGUUUGUGCGCAUUGCCCCUGUGCCCAUUGCCGCCAAGCCUGUUGGAUCGGGACCCCUGGGGCCUGGCCCUGCCGGUCUCCUCAUGGGCCAGAAGUUCCCCAAGAACCCAGCCGCAGAACUCAUCAAAAUGCACAAAUGUACUUUCCCUGGCUGCAGCAAGAUGUACACCAAAAGCAGCCACCUCAAGGCCCACCUGCGCCGGCACACGGGUGAGAAGCCCUUCGCCUGCACCUGGCCAGGCUGCGGCUGGAGGUCUGCCAGCCAGAAGAGCAGAUCUGAUUUGAGGGCAGCUGGGAAGCCGUCCAAUCUGGAGAGCCUCUACAAUUAGCAAAACAAGGUCUGGAAUUCCUGGACUUCACUCCUUGUUAGCGAGAAAGCGAAACACGUGAUGUUCUGCUUUGCUCUCAGUGUCAAAACCUUGUGCUCAUGGGCCCUGGCGGCUACACAGAAAGCCCUGAGGACUGAAACCCUGCAUGGGUACAUUUUGAUGGGGCAGGAAGAAAAGUUCUGGAGUGUGGAGAGCAGAGGUCCAGAGCAUUCACUGAUUUAGCCACAGAAGAAACAGAUGCGGAAACCGGGGCACAGCAGGCGAAGUGAAACUUCCCAUGUUCCAGCAAAGCCCAGUCCAUAACGUGAGGCUUUGUGAGGUUUGUGUGUGCGACCUUCACCCCUUCACCUGGACCCUCUCUUUGUCCUCCUUUCGCACCCAGUGAUGUGUGGCCUGGAUCACUUCCCUGCCCUCAAGUCUUGCCCUGGCCUGACGUUCAGCGGACCCUCCGUGCAUUAAGGAUGGAGGAUGGUUCCUUGUGCUUCCUCUACCAGGUGCACUUGUAUCUGCUCGGAAUUCUGGAAGAGCAAAGACCCACUGGCCCCACUAAUCCAUCUAUUGAUCCUGCCCCGGUCAGCAGGCUGGGUCUAGCCUCCACACUGCCGCUGCUCAGGGUCUGUGGAGGAAGUCGCUGCAGCCAUUCAGCCAGAUGAAUCGCAAUUAAUAAAUGUGGAACGAAUGAGAGACGAAGACGAUGAGCACCAGAGGACUGCAGGGAGCACGGCUGAGGCAACAUCACCAGAGGAUAGUAAAAUUAGCAGACAGAGAUCUAAGCACAAACAGUGUCUCUGUGUAGCCUUAAAGCAUCUCUUUGAAUAUUUAAUGGUUACAAAGGAAAAACAGUGAGUUGAUGGGGGAGAACCCUGGCAGGCACCACCCUAACCAAGAGAUCAAAGUUGGCAUGACCAGGCACAAGGCACACUAACAGCCCACACCCACUGAUCUGGCCCACCGAAAAUGCACAUCACUUCUGUGGCAUUGCCACGGAAUUUCCAAAAAGGCAUUACCUCAGUCCAAUGCAGAGAAGGCGUCAGGCAGACCUAGGCGGAGAGACUGUCCAAGAGCGACAGACCCAUCCUCUUAAAAAGCCGGCCCUGACACAGAAAGGAGACAGAGAAAGGUGACAGCCAAAUGCACGUGGGAGCUGGGAACAGAGGAGGGCACUGGGAGGGGCCUGCCUGCCGUCCAGCUCUCGAGACCACGGCGAGAUUCAGAAGGGAAUUGGGCCAUUCCUUCUCCAAAGCAGAACGUACUGCAGCUGUGAGAGUUCUAGGAGAAAAUUCAGGUGGAUGCUUCUGUAAUCUUGGAAUGGAGGCUAAGCCUGGCAACAAUGCUAGAAAACAGUGCUGAAGUUUGACAGAUUUAGCCACAUACAAUGGCAAAUGACAAACUGUAAAAGGAAUUCUUGUGAGACAGAGGAAGGAAGGAAGGAAGGAAGGAAGGAAGGAAGGAAGGAAGGUAGGAAGGAAGAAAGGAAGGAAGGAAGGGGCACCCUAAUAGGGCAAACAGUAGUAUAGGUCAGAAAUAACUUUGAAAGAACCACAGGGUGCUGGUGGGCCAAUCAGGGACAGACAGACCCCCUCUUCCAGGGGCUGGGCUGGGCUGGGGUGGGGUCCACAGGUGCAGCCCUGGAGCUGGGCUUGCCUGUCUGCAUCCAAGCAUCCCUGUGCUUUCCCUGUGAGCUGGCAGUCCCCACUAUGAGAUUCUAGCCUGGGAAUGUGCUAUAGGGAAGCUUACAGCAGCAGAUCAUAGAAAAGCAAAAUAGAAAUGUGAAAGGAAAAUAAAAACUUGGGACCCCUACUCCCUCCGCCAAAAGAAAAAAAAAAUGCUGAAAGUGGAGUCAUGCAAGAAGCUGCCUUUCCCUUUGUUCCUAAGCAGAUAGAGACAGAUAAAAGGUUAAAGAUCUCCACUCUGCAUUCACCUUAUCUUGUGUGAAGAGUCGAGUUACUGAGCAUGGGACGAACACAUAACUGACCAUUCCCCUACAUGCUCCUUUUCUUUUGCAACAUUUGGAUUCAGUAAUGUGACCAUACCCUCCCUCUGUCCCCUCCAGCUGGCUUUUUCCUUUAAAUACUGAAGCCCUCGAAAUCAUCUUUGGAGAAAGGCACAGACCUGUCUCCCAAGACGUGUCCUUAAUCUUGGCAAAGUAAACUUCUAAGUUGAUCGAGGCUUGUCUCAGAUAUUUUCAGGUUUACAGAAAGAAAUUCAAUUUCAGUCACAAACGGAAUGAUAAAAUAAGUUGUUACGCAUCCAUAGAAAGAAGAUAUUAACAUGGUAAGCCCUGUAUUUAUUAACCUAUGCUUACGAUAAAUAAAAACAGGCUGUAUGGUCAAAGGUGGAAUACAGCUAUAAGGAGAGAAGAAGUGAGAAAUGUAUCGUCUUUUAAAUUCGUUUCCUUUAUUACUAGUGAAGUUGAGGAUAUGCUCCCAUUUAGGGGCCGGUUACUUUGUCUUCUGUGAAUUGCCUGUUAAAUCCUUACCCAUUUCCUACUCUUUUCUUAUUGAUUGGAAAGACAUGUUUAUGCAACACAGAUAUUAACCAUUGGCACAUUACUUCUAUUGUAAACUAUUUUCUCCCUGCCUGGAAUUUGUCCUUUAAUUUGUUUAAGGAGGCAUUCAUUUAGUUCUUGCAAUAUUCAAAUCUGUCAGUCAUUUCCUUUACGGUUUCCAGGUUUUGUUUGCUGCUUAGUAAAAGCCUUCUUCACCAUAGGAUUUUAAAAAUAUUCUUCCAUAUUUGGCUUUAAAACUUUUAUAGAUUUUUUAAAUGUUUAGCUCUUUAAUACACCUGGAGUUUAUUCUUGCAAAUGGUAAGAAGAUUCUAACAUUGGUUUCAAAAUGGAUAGUGAGUUUUCCCCAAAGCCUCUGUUGACCUUCCAUCUUUCCAGCUUGGCUUUGAAAGGUCUCCUGUAUCAAAUACUAAAUUUCCCCAUAAACAUGAAUCUGUUUCUGGAUUUUCUGUGUGAAUUACUGAAGUCUUUUUGGAGGUUUUCGAAAUCAUCUUCAGGAUUCCUAUAUAUUUUCUCUUUCAGAUGAACUUUCAAAUCAGCUUCUCAAGUGUCAACAUCCUGUUGCGAUUUUCAUUGAUAUUGAACUGAAUUUAUAGAUUUUGUAAGCAGAAAAAAAUUAUUUUAAUUUUUUGAGAAAAAAAGUUUUAAAUGGUUUGUUUUCAGACUGUGUCAAGAUAUCCCUACCUCCGAAGUUGUCAGGUUUGCGGACCUUGGGGUGAAGCGUGGGGCUGCUGGAGGCGUCCAGCCCUGACUGUGUGUCCAGGACAAUGAGCCCCGAAGUGAGCGGGCCGCGUCCUGUUGGCGCAGCCAACUUCACGCCCUCUGUCCAGGGAGGACUAAGGGACAAGCUGCAGCAGGCGCAGAGGACGCUGUUGGUGUCCGGGAGGCCGCUGGUACAGGGCGUUGGGCGUGGCUCCUUUCCAAGUGCCUUGCACUUUCCAGGCUGGGCUGCAGAAGCAGGCUCGGGGGCGACUCGCGUGGGGACUGAAGCAGCCAGCCUUGGCACCUGCCCACAGCAAAUAACUGCCUUGACUUGAUCUGGUUUUUUUGAAGAAAGGUUUAUUCAUACCCAUUAUGUGCGCAUGUGUAAAUUCAAACCCACGGCUUGCCGGAGCCUGGGCUUUCUCGAACAUCAGUUGCUCCCAUGCUACCAUUUUGCAGUUUGCCCGUCUCCAGUAGAUGAUUUCUGAAUAUUUUAAUCAACUCAUUAUUAACCAUUCACACGUCUACCUUAGCCUCAUUUUAAGCAAUUGCACCUGUGGGUUUCACAGGCCUGCUGUAUUUUUAGUACAUAUUAAAUAAAGCAUGUCUGUUGGGGCGUGCUGUGCUUGCCCA